This 1262-nucleotide long non-coding RNA is filed under the name Salvator merianae (Argentine black and white tegu). Its description in RNAcentral is "lncRNA (ENSSMRG00000010861.1)". The record is from RNAcentral. Lineage: Eukaryota; Metazoa; Chordata; Lepidosauria; Squamata; Teiidae.
GGGGCGGCGGGGAGGCUUCAGAAACCGCCCCUCCCUCAAGGGCCACGGGGAGCGAGGAAGACACCCACCUAGCCCCGGAGGGGCUGCGGCUGACGCGAGGUUCACUCCUUCCCUCCUCCUCUCUCCGCUUCCCCUCGUUUAACCUCCAGCAGCAGCACUAGGGAAGCGCGAGCCGGCGUCGUCGGUGCAUCUGGGUGCUGCAAGCAGAGGCUAUGCGAAACUCCGAGGCUGGUGGGAUUUCUUUGCUUUCCUUCUUUUCGUUAGUGAAUCCCUGAAUGGAUUUAGCCAGUCGUUGCUCCAGAGCAGGCGCGCUAGAUACUCUUGCUCCCAGAAGGUGUCUGCAGUGAUUCUGGAAUUUCCAAGGGUGUCUGGCCAGACUGGCUGACUGGCUUCCUGCUAACCAAACUUCAGGACAGACAAAAGCACGUGGAGCAAUCAGGAUAUCACCUCCCCAGGAUUGCUCACAUGCAGCUGUGUCCAGGCACAGCCAGACUAAUGCCAACUCCUUCAGUGCUCCUCACAGAAGAUGGACCUCUAUAGGAGUCCAGUGCCAAGCGCAGCCCUUCUUGCCAGUCUUUGGCUGCUGAUCUCUAGGAAAGGAUUAGCACUUUGUAGUGAGCACUCUUGAUCUUCUUAGCUACGGUCUCUCUUAAAUCUGCCCAGGAGGGCCACAAACAUUUCAGUCCUCUCAAANGAAGGCUAGCAUCAGAAGCAAGAGGACUUGCUACUUUAAGCUGCUACAGAAGUAAAACAAUGUUCAGCCCAAGUUCGUUUGUGCCANAGCAAAAGUACUACUGGAUUCAUCCACAAGUCACAAUCCAGGAAAACGUUUGCAAAAAGAGUGAGGGGUGCUACUAACUUUCCACAGAUGGGAAUCCAACCAUGUUUGUGGGGGCCNUGCUGAUGAUUUCUUCUAAGGAAACAGGCUGAAAGCUGUGUAGACAAGUCCCUUCUAGGAGAAAAUUGACACAGAUUUCAGUGCUCAACUUCUAUUCUAAUACUGAGCCGGUUGUAUAACUGAUUUGUGAAUAGAUUCUUUUGUUUCUGUUGCUCAUUAAUAAUGCUAGACAAGAACACUUAAUUGAAAAUGGAUGACUAUAAUGGAAAAAUAUGGUAAACUCUACUUCCAAAGACCAUGCCAAGUAAUAGGUUCAACUUACUUGUGACAUAGAACAGCAGAAAGGGUGACUCAGGUUUGGAUUACCUGACUGGCCUUCAGACCUUGUCAGCAUUUUGUAAAAUAAACACCUGUAUUGUCAGCA